GAUGAACGCUGGCGGCGUGCCUAACACAUGCAAGUCGAGCGAACAGACGAGGAUUUUGCUUCUCUGACGUUAGCGGCGGACGGGUGAGUAACACGUGGAUAACCUACCUAUAAGACUGGGAUCACUUCGGGAAAGCUGAUCCAAUACCGGAUAAUAUAUUGAACCGCAUGGUUCAAUAGUCAAAGACGGUUUUGCUGUCACUUAUAGAUGGUUCCGGGCCGGAUUAGCUAGUUGGUAAGGUAACGGCUUACCAAGGCGACGAUGCGUAGCCGACCUGAGAGGGUGAUCGGCCACACUGGAACUGAGACACGGUCCAGACUCCUACGGGAGGCAGCAGUAGGGAAUCUUCCGCAAUGGGCGAAAGCCUGACGGAGCAACGCCGCGUGAGUGAUGAAGGUCUUCGGAUCGUAAAACUCUGUUAUUAGGGAAGAACAAAUGUGUAAGUAACUAUGCACGUCUUGACGGUACCUAAUGAAAAAGCAACGGCUAACUACGUG
This 497-nucleotide ribosomal RNA is filed under the name uncultured bacterium. RNAcentral describes it as "partial 16S ribosomal RNA". It matches the Rfam family "Bacterial small subunit ribosomal RNA", at positions 28 to 507 of the family's 1533-position model. The record is from RNAcentral.